GAAAUGAGUUCAUUGAUGAUGCACUGCUUGAUUCACGUUCCAGAACUAAUGAAUGUUAAAGGGAUUGGUAGAUUUGAAAACAUGUGUAGGUCGAGUAUAAGAGACGGAUUUAUUGAUAACAAGGCAUGGCUAACGUUUUUGAGUAGAAUUCAAUCAUAUCGCAUCUUAGAACUACCAACUUGGACAUUGAUUUUAUUUGCUCUACCUGAUGCUUUGGUUCUGAGUCCCCGCCUUCAAACCUCUCCUUCAACUACGUCUUCUUAUUUGCUUGAGGGCAAGCAAGGACUAAGUUUGGGGGAGUUGAUAUGUCUAUAGUUUGCAUGUUUUCAGUGUCCAUUCAUCAUCGUUUUGAGUCCAGUUUCGUAUCAUUCAUCACUGUUUUAUAUCAUUUCUCAUCAUUCUUGCAUACUUUGCAUGAUUAGGAUAGCUUUGCAUAGAUAUUGCAUUUCUGAGUUGUUUUCAGGUGAUUUGGAGCUGUUUGCGAGCAAAUUGGAAGAAACGAGCCAGAAACAGAAGACAUACUCGACCCCCAGGUCGAGUGACUUUGGAGCCAUUCUUCCCACAUACUCGACCCCCAGGUCGAGUGACUUUGGAGCCAUUCUUCCCAUCCACUCGACCACCAGGUCGAGUAACCUCAGCUCAGGCCACUCGAUGACAUUACUCGACCCCCUGGUCGGGUAUCACUUUGCCACACCACCUUACCACACUCGACCAUUCACUCUACCCCGUUACUCGACCCACUGGUCGAGUAUCAUCACUCACUACCAUCACCAUCACUCGACCAGACACUCGAUCACGUCUUCACAGUCUACUCAAUUCCGCACUCAACGAGACAAGCUGAGCAAAAGGAAGAGAAGAGGAGAAGACAAAGUGUUUGGAAGCGGCAUGGACCUCCAUCGGAUCACGAAGCCCAUGUCGGCCCAUUAUCUCUCUAUGGGCCGAGCGAUUAGGUUAUUGGCCCGUCUACUAUCAUUUUAUUUCGUUUUGUAUAAAUAGAUGUCUUAGGGUUCUGUCCUGAGACAUCUAGUGGACAUUGAGUUUUUGCUUCAGUUUUAUUUUCUGUUAUACUUUGCUGCGCUGCUUUUGCUUCUGCAACCUCUAAUUCGAGAUUUUUCCAAGUUAUUCAGAUUCUGCGUUUGAUUUCAUCUGUCAUCUUGUUUUUCUACUCUCUAUCUCUUUACUUAUGCAAUAUUAUCGUUUAUCUGUGUUUAUGUCUUUGAGCAUGUUGUCUGAGUAGUGACUUAGAAUUCUUAGGGAUGGGAUAGAGUAGUUGUGGAAUCCGUAGUAUGUAGAAUGGUUAAGCUUUAGAAUUGAUUGAAUCCCUUUAGGACUAGUUGCGUUUACUGCUUAUUUCUUUCUGAUCAACUAGAAUUCGAUCCCAAGCUUUCCCGCACCCAGAAGGUGUUCGAUGGAAUGCUUGAUCCACUAGUUCCUGAGAUAUGCGUCUCUAUCCCACACCCAGUGUCUGGAAACAAUGCAUGGACAUGAUAAUUGCCAAUUUAGUUCAGGUUCUAAUAGAUAGGAAAUGUCAUCAGAUGAGCGAGUUUCGAAUUAAAGGAGUAUAGUCAAGUUGUAAAUUCAAAGCAGGGUGCGGUCUUACUUCAGAGAAACAAU
This 1614-nucleotide small RNA is filed under the name Arabidopsis thaliana (thale cress). Its description in RNAcentral is "ATSL201300". The record is from RNAcentral. Lineage: Eukaryota; Viridiplantae; Streptophyta; Magnoliopsida; Brassicales; Brassicaceae.